CUUUUUGGAAACCAUGUUUUUCCCUGAGAGCAAUAGCUUUGUGUGGUUUACUGGAACAGUCAAAUUGUGCAACCAUCUAUGACAUUACAAUUUCUUGCUAAGUAAUAUCGACUAUUACGACAGAAAAUAUUAAGUAUGAAAAUCCCCAGCUGUUAGAGAGCAGUGGAAUUUGGGAACUUGCUCCCGAGAAUAAACAUAUUCAUGUCAAAAAUCUUUUUUCUCUCUUUUAAAAUAAUGGUUUCUAAAAAAAACAUUUGAUGCAAAUCCAAGAGACUACGGCCAUCUCAGCCCCAAUUUUCUUUUGCAUGUUAGAUCAUCAGCAGAUCACAGUAAGCAGCAGACUAGUUGAAUUAAUUUUAUUUUCCUUUCUGAGCUAGAGCGCUCUUCUGCAGAUAAACUUGCUGAUUAUCAAUCACUGCAGCACUUUCAGGUUCUUCAGAGUCUACUGAAUUGCUUAUUAUGGUUUGCUUUUCCAUGAGAGUGGAAUACAGGCAAAAUCUGUUGCCUCUCAGGAAAUCUUACUCAGUGAAUUUUAUAGAUACAUAUCUAUGUAGUAAUUUUAUGCAUUUUUUUUUCUUGACGACUGUUACUUGAAGGUACAGAUACGGAAGAUAAGCAGAUAUUUCUGAAUUUAAAUAUGUACAUAAAGGAGAAAGUAUAGUUUCAUUAUUCCCCUUUUCAUUACUCCUUUUCUUUCUUUGUGUAUUCAGUGGCAGUCCCUUUUCAGAAGGAAGAAAUUAUGGACGGAGAGGUGCCUGCAAACAAUACAAAUGAAGCCCUAGUCUGAGAGGAGCAGCACGGGAACACAACUGGCAGUCAGUGGACCACAGACUGGACUUCUUUCUCAUUUGUCUGCCUUUCCUUGCCACCUGCAAGUCUUCCUGUGUAUGAGUCUCAGCCUUUGGGUGUCCUGGUCAAGAAAUCUUCAUUCUCCAAUCAUCAUAAUGCCAGUCCCAGCCUAAAUUGCACUUCCAUCAUGCUCCAAGGUUUCAGGCAGUCAGGGUGGAAGAGAAAAGGCAAACUUAACAUUGCACUACCCAGACUUAAAGGAAUGUAACCUUGUAAAAA
This 1068-nucleotide long non-coding RNA is filed under the name Numida meleagris (helmeted guineafowl). RNAcentral's name for it is "lncRNA (ENSNMEG00000013662.1)". The record is from RNAcentral. Lineage: Eukaryota; Metazoa; Chordata; Aves; Galliformes; Numididae.